GCAAGUCGAGGGGUAACAUUGUAUCUUUCUACAGAUGACUACCGGCGAACGGGUGCGUAACGCGUAUAGAAUCUGCCUUUUACAUGAGGAUAGCCUUUAGAAAUGAAGAUUAAUACUCCAUAAUGCUAAUAUGUGGCAUCACAAAUUAGUUAAAGAUUUAUCGGUACAAGAGGACUAUGCGUCCUAUUAGCUAGAGGGUAAGGUAAAGGCUGACCAUGGCAACGAUAGGUAGGGGGUCUGAGAGGAUGAGC
RNAcentral lists this ribosomal RNA (251 nucleotides) under uncultured bacterium. Its description in RNAcentral is "partial 16S ribosomal RNA". It matches the Rfam family "Bacterial small subunit ribosomal RNA", at positions 57 to 305 of the family's 1533-position model. The record is from RNAcentral.